ACCAAACAAAUUUUGUGCCCUUAUAUCCCACUUAAACAAAUUUUGUGCCCUUAUAUCCCACUUAAACAAAUUUUGUGCCCUUAUAUCCCAAUCUGGGAUAUAAGGGCACAAAAUU
Diplonema papillatum is the source of this 115-nucleotide non-coding RNA. Lineage: Eukaryota; Euglenozoa; Diplonemea; Diplonemida; Diplonemidae. The record is from the annotation of a GenBank genome assembly.